GACGAACGCUGGCGGCGUGCUUAAUACAUGCAAGUCGAGCGGACAGGCCCUGCUCUUGUGGGGUGCUCGAGUGGCGAACGGGUGAGUAACACGCGAGUAUCCCGCCCUUGACUUUGGGAUAACUUUAGGAAAAUGGGGCGAAUAUAGGAUAGGAGCUCUUGAUGCAUGGUGGGGGUUGGAAAGAUUCGGCGUUUGGGGAUGGACUUGGGCCGUAUCAGCUUGUUGGUGGGGUAGUGGCUUACCAAGGCUUCGACGGGUAGACUACCUGAGAGGGGGAUAGGCCACACUGGAACGGAGCCAGGGUCCAGACGACUAAGGGAGGCAGCAGUCGGCAACCGGACGCAAUGGGCGAAAGUAUGACGGAGCAAGGCCGCGCGAGAGAUGACGGUCUUCGGAUCGUAAAACUCUCCUACUAGGGAAGAACCGCUGUGGAAUUAAAUGUGCAGGUAGUGACGGUACCGAGUCAGAAAGCCACGGCUAACUACGUG
This 488-nucleotide ribosomal RNA is filed under the name uncultured bacterium. RNAcentral's name for it is "partial 16S ribosomal RNA". It matches the Rfam family "Bacterial small subunit ribosomal RNA", at positions 28 to 507 of the family's 1533-position model. The record is from RNAcentral.